Molecule: ribosomal RNA, 405 nt
Filed under: uncultured bacterium
Lineage: Bacteria
Description: bacterial SSU rRNA
Rfam family: Bacterial small subunit ribosomal RNA
Source: RNAcentral
GGGGAAUAUUGCACAAUGGGCGAAAGCCUGAUGCAGCGACGCCGCGUGAGGGAUGACGGCCUUCGGGUUGUAAACCUCUUUCAGUAGGGAAGAAGCGAAAGUGACGGUACCUGCAGAAGAAGCGCCGGCUAACUACGUGCCAGCAGCCGCGGUAAUACGUAGGGCGCAAGCGUUAUCCGGAAUUAUUGGGCGUAAAGAGCUCGUAGGCGGUUUGUCACGUCUAUCGUGAAAGUCCGAGGCUCAACCUCGGAUCUGCGGUGGGUACGGGCAGACUAGAGUUAUGUAGGGGAGACUGGAAUUCCUGGUGUAGCGGUGAAAUGCGCAGAUAUCAGGAGGAACACCGAUGGCGAAGGCAGGUCUCUGGGCAUUAACUGACGCUGAGGAGCGAAAGCAUGGGGAGCGAAC